This 1036-nucleotide long non-coding RNA is filed under the name Fragaria vesca (wild strawberry). RNAcentral describes it as "long non-coding RNA (FVES_LNC004180)". Lineage: Eukaryota; Viridiplantae; Streptophyta; Magnoliopsida; Rosales; Rosaceae. The record is from RNAcentral.
UAUAUUAUUCAUGCUUAGACAACUAAGAUCUAGAGCAACAGUAUAAUUAGUAAAUCUCUGAGCCGUAUGUUAUUAUAACUCUAUAAAACUAAUCAGUACUUACUCCUGAUUCAAAGUAAAUCUGAUUGCAUUUGCAAAUGUAUGGUACUCAUCAAUCAAAGAGAAUGUGGAUUGGCUGGGAUCAGAAAGGGUCCCAAGUUCCAUUUCUUCACGAAAUUUGCCUGCCAAAGAAAAAAAAAAAAAAAAAAAAACAAACAAACAAAUCUCAGUUACUAUGUCAAAUGAUAAUACUAUGUAUCAGCAUCUGGGUUCCUACAUUUUGAUCAUUUUAUUGUAAUUGCGCUGGGAACUACGAAUUCCCCCAAACUUUUAACCAUUACUCAAUUUUCACCUCUAAAGAAAUAGAAAUCCUAUAAGUAGUAGAUGCAAGGUAUUGUAAUUUUAUGUCCAUGUAGUGAUAAAUACCAAUUUUGGUAUUUAUACUAUUUCAGGAACUACUGAUUAGGAGGUUUGGGUUCCAAUUGGCAAAUAAGAAACUAUCAUAGCUACAAUCUUAGACGCGAAGCUGCUCAGAAUGUUUACAUACAAAAUGUUGAAAAGGUGAGAUAUAAGGGUGUUGAAAUGAGUGUUUGAGUCUUAAGACUGCAGGCAAACGGAAAAACAGGAUUUCAGAGAGACUCAAAGUGUGAAUUAGUAGCCUAAACUUGUAAUAAUUUAGUGUUGCAUCAAACUACAGUGACUCAGUGAGUGUGUUCUGUUUAGCUCACAAAACUAUAGGAGGCAACUGGGUAACAACAUUUGUUCUAGAUAAGUUCAUAUGCAUCCCAAAUCAAUAAGUCAAUGAAAAUAUUGAUUUUCAAAAAAAAAAACAACGACAUGGGUUUAGGGUUUAAGAGGGUUUGUGCAACCAUGAGAAAAUUCUCAAAUUGAGAAUCAUAUUCCAUUCAGUGAGGAAGUAAUUGGACAGAAAUUAAACAAUGAACCACGACCAAUUCCGAAUCAAUCAAAUUGUGAAUCCAAUACAAUACCCAAUAAA